GGGUCAGUGAGCCGAAUUGGUGAAGGCACCCGACUGUAAAUCGGGCACAUCAGAAACGUUACAGGUUCGAGUCCUGCCUGGCCCA
RNAcentral lists this transfer RNA (85 nucleotides) under Caudoviricetes sp. RNAcentral describes it as "tRNA-Tyr". It matches the Rfam family "tRNA". Rfam says of the family: Transfer RNA (tRNA) molecules are approximately 80 nucleotides in length. Their secondary structure includes four short double-helical elements and three loops (D, anti-codon, and T loops). Further hydrogen bonds mediate the characteristic L-shaped molecular structure. tRNAs have two regions of fundamental functional importance: the anti-codon, which is responsible for specific mRNA codon recognition, and the 3' end, to which the tRNAs corresponding amino acid is attached (by aminoacyl-tRNA synthetases). tRNAs cope with the degeneracy of the genetic code in two manners: having more than one tRNA (with a specific anti-codon) for a particular amino acid; and 'wobble' base-pairing, i.e. permitting non-standard base-pairing at the 3rd anti-codon position. Lineage: Duplodnaviria; Heunggongvirae; Uroviricota; Caudoviricetes. The record is from RNAcentral.